Molecule: ribosomal RNA, 2902 nt
Filed under: metagenome
Description: bacterial LSU rRNA
Rfam family: Bacterial large subunit ribosomal RNA
Source: RNAcentral
UUAAGCGACUAAGCGUACACGGUGGAUGCCCUGGCAGUCAGAGGCGAUGAAGGACGUGCUAAUCUGCGAUAAGCGUCGGUAAGGUGAUAUGAACCGUUAUAACCGGCGAUUUCCGAAUGGGGAAACCCAGUGUGUUUCGACACACUAUCAUUAACUGAAUCCAUAGGUUAAUGAGGCGAACCGGGGGAACUGAAACAUCUAAGUACCCCGAGGAAAAGAAAUCAACCGAGAUUCCCCCAGUAGCGGCGAGCGAACGGGGAGCAGCCCAGAGCCUGAAUCAGUGUGUGUGUUAGUGGAAGCGUCUGGAAAGGCGCGCGAUACAGGGUGACAGCCCCGUACACAAAAAUGCACAUGCUGUGAGCUCGAUGAGUAGGGCGGGACACGUGGUAUCCUGUCUGAAUAUGGGGGGACCAUCCUCCAAGGCUAAAUACUCCUGACUGACCGAUAGUGAACCAGUACCGUGAGGGAAAGGCGAAAAGAACCCCGGCGAGGGGAGUGAAAAAGAACCUGAAACCGUGUACGUACAAGCAGUGGGAGCACGCUUAGGCGUGUGACUGCGUACCUUUUGUAUAAUGGGUCAGCGACUUAUAUUCUGUAGCAAGGUUAACCGAAUAGGGGAGCCGAAGGGAAACCGAGUCUUAACUGGGCGUUAAGUUGCAGGGUAUAGACCCGAAACCCGGUGAUCUAGCCAUGGGCAGGUUGAAGGUUGGGUAACACUAACUGGAGGACCGAACCGACUAAUGUUGAAAAAUUAGCGGAUGACUUGUGGCUGGGGGUGAAAGGCCAAUCAAACCGGGAGAUAGCUGGUUCUCCCCGAAAGCUAUUUAGGUAGCGCCUCGUGAAUUCAUCUCCGGGGGUAGAGCACUGUUUCGGCAAGGGGGUCAUCCCGACUUACCAACCCGAUGCAAACUGCGAAUACCGGAGAAUGUUAUCACGGGAGACACACGGCGGGUGCUAACGUCCGUCGUGAAGAGGGAAACAACCCAGACCGCCAGCUAAGGUCCCAAAGUCAUGGUUAAGUGGGAAACGAUGUGGGAAGGCCCAGACAGCCAGGAUGUUGGCUUAGAAGCAGCCAUCAUUUAAAGAAAGCGUAAUAGCUCACUGGUCGAGUCGGCCUGCGCGGAAGAUGUAACGGGGCUAAACCAUGCACCGAAGCUGCGGCAGCGACGCUUAUGCGUUGUUGGGUAGGGGAGCGUUCUGUAAGCCUGUGAAGGUGUACUGUGAGGUAUGCUGGAGGUAUCAGAAGUGCGAAUGCUGACAUAAGUAACGAUAAAGCGGGUGAAAAGCCCGCUCGCCGGAAGACCAAGGGUUCCUGUCCAACGUUAAUCGGGGCAGGGUGAGUCGACCCCUAAGGCGAGGCCGAAAGGCGUAGUCGAUGGGAAACAGGUUAAUAUUCCUGUACUUGGUGUUACUGCGAAGGGGGGACGGAGAAGGCUAUGUUGGCCGGGCGACGGUUGUCCCGGUUUAAGCGUGUAGGCUGGUUUUCCAGGCAAAUCCGGAAAAUCAAGGCUGAGGCGUGAUGACGAGGCACUACGGUGCUGAAGCAACAAAUGCCCUGCUUCCAGGAAAAGCCUCUAAGCAUCAGGUAACAUCAAAUCGUACCCCAAACCGACACAGGUGGUCAGGUAGAGAAUACCAAGGCGCUUGAGAGAACUCGGGUGAAGGAACUAGGCAAAAUGGUGCCGUAACUUCGGGAGAAGGCACGCUGAUAUGUAGGUGAAGUCCCUCGCGGAUGGAGCUGAAAUCAGUCGAAGAUACCAGCUGGCUGCAACUGUUUAUUAAAAACACAGCACUGUGCAAACACGAAAGUGGACGUAUACGGUGUGACGCCUGCCCGGUGCCGGAAGGUUAAUUGAUGGGGUCAGCGCAAGCGAAGCUCUUGAUCGAAGCCCCGGUAAACGGCGGCCGUAACUAUAACGGUCCUAAGGUAGCGAAAUUCCUUGUCGGGUAAGUUCCGACCUGCACGAAUGGCGUAAUGAUGGCCAGGCUGUCUCCACCCGAGACUCAGUGAAAUUGAACUCGCUGUGAAGAUGCAGUGUACCCGCGGCAAGACGGAAAGACCCCGUGAACCUUUACUAUAGCUUGACACUGAACAUUGAGCCUUGAUGUGUAGGAUAGGUGGGAGGCUUUGAAGUGUGGACGCCAGUCUGCAUGGAGCCGACCUUGAAAUACCACCCUUUAAUGUUUGAUGUUCUAACGUGGACCCGUGAUCCGGGUUGCGGACAGUGUCUGGUGGGUAGUUUGACUGGGGCGGUCUCCUCCUAAAGAGUAACGGAGGAGCACGAAGGUUGGCUAAUCCUGGUCGGACAUCAGGAGGUUAGUGCAAUGGCAUAAGCCAGCUUGACUGCGAGCGUGACGGCGCGAGCAGGUGCGAAAGCAGGUCAUAGUGAUCCGGUGGUUCUGAAUGGAAGGGCCAUCGCUCAACGGAUAAAAGGUACUCCGGGGAUAACAGGCUGAUACCGCCCAAGAGUUCAUAUCGACGGCGGUGUUUGGCACCUCGAUGUCGGCUCAUCACAUCCUGGGGCUGAAGUAGGUCCCAAGGGUAUGGCUGUUCGCCAUUUAAAGUGGUACGCGAGCUGGGUUUAGAACGUCGUGAGACAGUUCGGUCCCUAUCUGCCGUGGGCGCUGGAGAACUGAGGGGGGCUGCUCCUAGUACGAGAGGACCGGAGUGGACGCAUCACUGGUGUUCGGGUUGUCAUGCCAAUGGCACUGCCCGGUAGCUAAAUGCGGAAGAGAUAAGUGCUGAAAGCAUCUAAGCACGAAACUUGCCCCGAGAUGAGUUCUCCCUGACUCCUUGAGAGUCCUGAAGGAACGUUGAAGACGACGACGUUGAUAGGCCGGGUGUGUAAGCGCAGCGAUGCGUUGAGCUAACCGGUACUAAUGAACCGUGAGGCUUAACCUU